Molecule: long non-coding RNA, 2130 nt
Organism: Monodelphis domestica (gray short-tailed opossum)
Lineage: Eukaryota; Metazoa; Chordata; Mammalia; Didelphimorphia; Didelphidae
Source: Ensembl
AGUUCUCGGAGCCGUCGGUUGAUUGGCUCGUGGAAAGUGGGGGCGUGGUCUCGGGCUUUAACUUGUGGCGCCCGCUCCGAAGCCCAAGAUCAGUUUGGAACGCGGCGCCUGGCUGAACUGUCCCGUGUCCCCCGGACCUUCUAGGAACUCACCUCCAUCCCCAUGGCUUCGCAAGGCGUGGACCCGAGAGGGCUGGGAGAUGAUGAGCUACACUGCCUCCUCAGAGAGCUGGAUGAAGUGAUUGAAGACUUUGAUAAUGGCAGCAGCAGCAGCUGUCACUAUGAGGAACAUCUGGAGGAGCUCAAGCAAAGGAAUGGCCUUGGCCUUGGCGUCUAUGACAGUGGCAUCGAUGAAGCUGAGAGUACCAACCCAUCUCCAGGGAGCAGCUUAAACACCAGCGAGGAAAACAUUCACAUGCCAGCAACUUCUUCCGUUCCCAAAGCUAAGCUUGGAGACACGAAGGACCUGGAGGAUUACAUUGCUGACCUCGACAAAGAGCUGGAGGAAAUGUGAGCCACAGCCCUUGGGCACCUGGUGGAGGCCCCCAAGGAGUACUGCUGUAGCCGUGCCUGCCUGUGUAUACGCCCCAUGGUUCUCUCUUUGUGGCCUUCCUCAGAAGGCCGGAGGCCAAAACCUCAGGGCCAAGGAUCGGACGGGGCCACUCACUGGGAAUCAUCCCCAGGACCUGUUGCUCAAUUAUGUUAUCCGAUAAUGUUGCUGUGUCUGUAGUGCGCUAGCUGUUGUUUAGCCUUUGCCGCAUUCUUGUAGCCAAUAGUGUUAAGGCUGUGUCUGUACUGCUUGGGUCAAUCUGGCUGCCCUGGAAGACAUAGCGCCAAUGUUGGGGUCUAGGAUUUCAUUCCAAGUCUAGAAGUUCCCACCAAUGAUGCAGAUCCACCAUUUACUGCAGCUUCAAGUCUUGGAGAGUCACCUGGAGUGCCGAGAGUUGGUGACUUGUCCAGGAUCCCACAAUUAGUCUGUGCCAGAGGUGGCAUUUGGAGCCUCAGUCCUCCUUGCCCUCUAUCCACUAUGCCACAUUUCUAGCUUCAGUAACUGGACCGAUAGCUUUGUAGUCCUCUUCCUUGGCUGUCUUCUCAACUGCAUUGCCUUGACCCUCCUGAAAACCAAGUGAUGUCUGGCCAAUUAGCUGGUCUGAGCAUCUGUCUCCUAGAGCACUGUAAUGCUAACUUGCUUGCUGCCAGAAGAGGGAACAUUCGCCUGGAGCUUAGCUUUCAUAGUGCCCUCUUAAGGAUGAGCAGGAAUCUCCCAGCCAUGAGCCCAAAUUGUCUUCCCUUAUUAUCUCGAUUUGGCAAAGGUCUAUGAGUUCAUCGACAUGGACCUUCCUUCUUAGUGACCCCUUAUGGACUUCGUGGCUGGGCGGCCAGAGCUAGGCAUUGCCUUCCCCCUGUAGCUAACCUGGUUCUGAGCAGCAUCUCGUGUCCUUAGCCAUGCUGGUCUUUUGACAACAAGCAUCCAGUCAGGGAUGGAGCUCGAGUUUGAUGGUUGGUAGAAGUAGCCCAAGCCUUCAGGAACCCAGAAGCAGCAUCCUGACAGAACCAGGCACCAGAAGCCUUUGCAAAAUCAGGUGCUAUUGGGCCCCAUUGCAAUUUAGAGCCCUUAAAGGCCUUGCUAUCACUUGGGGUCACAGCGUAUUUAGAAAUUGGGGUAAGUGAACAUGAAGCCCUCCCCACUCCCACUUUUUGCCCCUUUGCCCAUGGCCUACGACUGGCCAAGAGGCUCCUGCAGCUCUAUGAUGAGAGAACAGGAAAAGAGUUUUGCAGGGAAGGCAGUAGAACUCUAACCCAACUGGAGGGAAGCGGGGUGAGGUGUUGCGCAGUGAGGGAGCCCUGUGAGAGAGAUCACAGCCUCUAACAGACAAGAUGGCCCCUCCUGAUGGCAGGUAACAGCUUCUGCCUCAGGCACACACACAAGCCACAAGGAGCCUCCCUGAUGUCCCUGAGCCAAGAGCGAGCUGUCGACCGCCAUUUCCUAAAGUCAGGCCUGCCGAUGCUUCUCACUCUCCAUGCCCCUUGGGCACUAGUGUAAAUGUUGUAUGAUACAGUGAAUAUUCCAUAUGAGUUAGCAUACACAAAAUGAAAUAAACGCUUCGUGAAGGAUGAGCCCUCGGACCUU